UACGUAGGGCGCAAGCGUUGUCCGGAAUUAUUGGGCGUAAAGAGCUCGUAGGCGGCUUGUCACGUCUGCUGUGAAAUCCCGGGGCUCAACCCCGGGCGUGCAGUGGAUACGGGCUGGCUAGAGGCAGGCAGGGGAGAACGGAAUUCCAGGUGUAGCGGUGAAAUGCGUAGAUAUCUGGAGGAACACCGGUGGCGAAGGCGGCAUCCUGGACCAUUACUGACGCUGAGUGAGCGAAAGCCAGGGGAGCAAACGGG
RNAcentral lists this ribosomal RNA (254 nucleotides) under uncultured bacterium. RNAcentral's name for it is "partial 16S ribosomal RNA". It matches the Rfam family "Bacterial small subunit ribosomal RNA", at positions 524 to 776 of the family's 1533-position model. The record is from RNAcentral.